UGUGGUUUUAUAUAUAAUAUUACUAAAUCUCAUUAAAAAUAUAUUUAACUGUUAAAAAAAUAUAAAGAUAAUUCCAUUGUGAAUAUAAAACAAACAAUACAAUAAUAGGUUCUUACUUAUAUAAAAUAUAUAUACAUAUAAAUUAUUAAUUUAUAAUUUUAAUAGAACCAUAUAUUUUUAUAGAAUUUUCUAAAAUAUUAUUAUCUUAUUAUUUUAUCGAUUUAUGUCAAAUUUUGAACCAACGUAAACUGGGACCGACG
This 260-nucleotide long non-coding RNA is filed under the name Brassica rapa (field mustard). Its description in RNAcentral is "long non-coding RNA (BRAP_LNC001520)". The record is from RNAcentral. Lineage: Eukaryota; Viridiplantae; Streptophyta; Magnoliopsida; Brassicales; Brassicaceae.